RNAcentral lists this ribosomal RNA (253 nucleotides) under uncultured bacterium. RNAcentral describes it as "partial 16S ribosomal RNA". It matches the Rfam family "Bacterial small subunit ribosomal RNA", at positions 524 to 776 of the family's 1533-position model. The record is from RNAcentral.
UACGAAGGGUGCAAGCGUUAGUCGGAAUUACUGGGCGUAAAGCGUGCGUAGGCGGUUUUCUAAGUCUGCCGUGAAAGCCCCGGGCUCAACCUGGGAAUGGCGGUGGAUACUGGAAAGCUGGAGUGCGGUAGAGGAGGGUGGAAUUCCCGGUGUAGCGGUGAAAUGCGUAGAGAUCGGGAGGAACAUCAGUGGCGAAGGCGGCCCUCUGGACCAGCACUGACGCUGAGGCACGAAAGCGUGGGGAGCGAACAGG